Molecule: transfer RNA, 73 nt
Filed under: Nitratidesulfovibrio vulgaris str. Hildenborough
Lineage: Bacteria; Pseudomonadati; Thermodesulfobacteriota; Desulfovibrionia; Desulfovibrionales; Desulfovibrionaceae
Description: Desulfovibrio vulgaris str. Hildenborough tRNA-Lys-TTT-2-1
Source: RNAcentral
GUUACUUUACCGUGUUCAUCGCGUGGGCCUUUUAAGCAGAGAGUCGCAGGUUCGAAUCCUGCACGACCCACCA